Molecule: ribosomal RNA, 465 nt
Filed under: uncultured bacterium
Lineage: Bacteria
Description: partial 16S ribosomal RNA
Rfam family: Bacterial small subunit ribosomal RNA
Source: RNAcentral
CCUACGGGAGGCAGCAGUGGGGAAUUUUGGACAAUGGGCUCACGCCUGAUCCAGCUAUUCCGCGUGUGGGAUGACGGCCCUCGGGUUGUAAACCACUUUUGUAGAGAACGAAAUGACACCUUCGAGUAACGGGUGUUGCUGACGGUACUCUAAGAAUAAGCACCGGCUAACUACGUGCCAGCAGCCGCGGGAAUACGUAGGGUGCGAGCGUUAAUCGGAAUUACUGGGCGUAAAGGGUGCGCAGGCGGUUGAGUACGACAGAUGGGAAAUCCGCGGGCUUAACGCGGGAAUGGAAUAUGUGACUGCUCGACUAGAGUGUGUCAGAGGGAGGUGGAAUUCCACGUGUAGCAGUGAAAUGCGUAGAUAUGUGGAAGAACACCGAUGGCGAAGGCAGCAUCCUGGGACAUAACUGACGCUCAGGCACGAAAGCGUGGGGAGCAAACAGGAUUAGAUACCCUAGUAGUC